UACGUAGGGGGCAAGCGUUGUCCGGAAUCACUGGGCGUAAAGCGCGCGUAGGCGGCUUUUCAAGUCGAUUGUGAAAUCCCCGGGCUUAACCUGGGAACUGCAGUCGAGACUGUCUAGCUAGAGUAUGGGAGAGGGAAGUGGAAUUUCAGGUGUAGCGGUGAAAUGCGUAGAUAUCUGAAGGAACAUCAGUGGCGAAAGCGACUUCCUGGACCAAUACUGACGCUCAUGUGCGAAAGCGUGGGGAGCAAACAGG
This 253-nucleotide ribosomal RNA is filed under the name uncultured bacterium. RNAcentral's name for it is "partial 16S ribosomal RNA". It matches the Rfam family "Bacterial small subunit ribosomal RNA", at positions 524 to 776 of the family's 1533-position model. The record is from RNAcentral.